AGUCUAUGAGAAAAGACACGAGUUUGAGGAGACUUCAAUUGAGAACAUCUAAGAAGUAGAAUCUUUCAAUGGAGAAGAAGAGGAGACUCUCAAAUAUUUCUUCAAUUAUUCAAGCAAUCUAUAUGUGUUGUAAGUUAACACCUGCUACUUAAUUCUUUUUGUUCAAUUGUUAUAAUUUAAAGGAAAGUACAAAUAUCACUCUUUUCUUAAGAGAUCAAGGACCAAACUUGAUACGAAACCCUAAAAACAGUAUUCAAGUUCAUUAAUUUGAUACAAAUUAAUGUUUAUGAGCCUUAAAAACCACUGAAAAUGAAUUAGAUUAAAAAGUUGAAAUAGUUUUUUAGAUUGAUCUUAUAUUAAAGUAUUGAUAUUCCUUCAAUUUUGAUCCAAUUGAAGAGAAAGUCCAACUGAUGGAAUGAGAACUUUCUUCUUUGAUUGAUACAUCUUGGAUGAUCGAAUAAAAGAAACUCAAUUUAUCAGUCAAAGCUUAAACCAUUUUCUUCAGUUUAGUGGAAUGACCUAUGGUUUUUCUUUUCCAUUUAUGUCCAUAAUUAUAUUUGAAGAUGCAACACAACAUCUUAAUAUGGCCACCAUCCAUCAUUUAGGUUUUUUUAUCGUUUCCAGCAUAUCUAUAUUCUCAUAGGUGUCCUAUCAUCACGUAAUUUACAAGUAACUAAAAGAGAAAUAUCUCUUUAAUCAUCCAUUGAUAUAUUAAUAUGUGACUUAAUCUAUUUGUAUUAGGAUAUUAGGUAAUCUUUAUCUUAUAAAUAACUUCUUAUCUAGAAGCAUUAACUACAUGAACAAGGCACCAUCACCUAGAGUUAUGUGGCUAUGCAUUUCAAAUACUAUUUCCAAUAUUUCUUACUUCAUACUUUAUAAAAUCCUAUAGAAUUGUGUGGAUUGCAAAGUUUGAUAAUUUAUGGAAUUUUGUUUUAUUUAGAUUUGUCUUUUAAAGUAACAAAAAGAUAGGGUUAUAAUGCAUCAAAGGAAAGUGGUAAUUUGCUAGAACAUGCAGUUACUCUUUGUAGGCAAGAUAGAAUUGAUUCUUUUGUGUAAUUGGAAGGAAGAUUUUUAUGAUGUUGAGUUGAUUGUCAUAUUAAUAAUCACUUUAAAUUUUUGUUUACUUAUAGGUUAUUAAUGUGCCUUUUUCAAGUUUGAGAAUGUGGUAUAAUCCUUUUUAAUAUGAUAAUAGGUAGCUAAAUAAGAAAAGAGACUUGAUAGAAAUUUAAAAAAAAAAAAUUAGCAAAAAUAAUUUGUUUACAAAAUAAAUAAAAAAUCCAUAAUAUAAACAUUCUACCAAAAUGAUUCCCAAACUAGUGCAUCCUAUCUAUGUGGCUAUCCACGUUACAAAACUGAAGUUAGUAACUACAAUUUUAAUUUUUUUUUUAAAUGGUUAAAACUAUAGUUGAUGACUUUUAAGUUUAAAUUUAAAGUCGUAGUCACCAACUAUGGUUUUAUGUUUAAAAAUAGAAAUCAAAAUUGUAGUUGCUAACUACGGUUUUGUGACAAAAUAAAAAAUAAAAAAUCUUAGGCCAUGUAGAUGUCCAAGUGGAUGAGAUGCAUUAAUUUGAGAAUUAUUUAGGGAGGAGGGUUUUUAUGGGUUUUUUUUUCAAACAUAUUAUUUUGACUAAAAACUCCAAACAAAAAAAUGGUAGAAUUGGGAGUACUUAUAUAUAAAAUCAACCCAAUUCUUCCAUAUCAAGGAAGUGAUAUAACAAGAUAGGAAACACCUAUAUCUUACUCAUUAGAUGUAUAAAAACAAAAUUAAUUACGUAUGUCAUUAUAAGAAGUUGAGUUGUCACAACAUUUUCAUUUUCAAAUAUUAUACCAUAGUUAGAAAAACAUAUAAAUGGUAUAAAAAAAUUUGAGCUUGUCAAUUAUUGAUUUUUUUUCUUUUCUUUCUUUCUUCAAUAUUUUAGUGUUGAAUACCCAUAAAAUCAAUUAUUUGUUUUUUAGGCUAUAGAAUCUCCAUUAUUGUAAGAAAGAUAAGCAUAAAUUCCACCUUCCUUUUUCAGGUUUUCUUAUUAUGGAAUGAGGGUAGUCGGAAAUAGGUAUGUGUUUAAUUUUUUUCAAAAUUCAAUAAUUUUGUGAGAUUUUGUGUUUGGACAAAAAGGAAAGAAGUACCAUCACAAGAAUUAUACAUGUGAUAGAAGAAAUGAAGAGUGCAUUUGGCAUUAAUUUUAGAAAAUGUUUCUAACAUUUCUAACACUUGAAUGAUAACAAAUUUCAAGUGUUAGAAUGGUUAGAAAUGUUUCCUAGAAUCACUGUCAAACCAACUUGAAAUUUCUUAUAGUCCAUUAAUAUUAUUUCUUGAAAAAUCCUAGCUCUGUGCUAUCAAAGUUUUAUUUUUUAAUCUUUUUGACAUUUUUCCCCUCAUUUAUAUAUCUUAAUCAUAGUAUGUAUGCAGCUUUUGCAGAAAUACAGGAUCUUCCUACAGCGAGUUAUCGUACAUAUGCAACUUUUGCAGAAGUAGAGGAUAUUUCAAAAGCUGGUGAUUCAAUUGGAAGAAGCACAUGAAAGAAUUCAACUCAAAGAAAUCAAAUAUGAAGCUUUGCGAUGGAGCACCCUUCACUGAUGAUUAAUGAAUUCCAACAUGUGUUCCUGUAGUUUCUAGAACAAUGCCAAAUAAGUAGGAUCUAAAGGACACCUUCUAACUACACAUGGUCCGAAAUUUGGUGGUAAAAAUAGUUUUGGAUGCAUAUGCACCACCUAAAGAUAACAAUUACUUUUGAUUAUACCUAUAGGGAAAAAAAUAGGAACUUAAAGCAAUAGGUUGAUCAAUUAGUAUUAAAGUGGAUUUACAAUAUCUACAUAGGUGAAUUGAUUUGUUUUUGUGCUACAAUGAUGCAUGGCUUAGUUAAAGUUUAAUUUUUUUUUUUUCUUUUGGAUUUGAGUGGAAAACCCAUCUAUUUAUAUAUUACUAAUUUGCAAUAUAAUGCUAGAUGUGUACUACAUAUAUCAAGUAUUGCUUUGACAAAGUGGUUGAAUAUUGUUUUUUUGUCUAUGAAUAGAUCCCAAAAUAUUACAUAAUUUGGUUGUUUUAUUUUGUAUUUUCUAAUUAUAAUUCUUCACAGAGCAAUUGGUCACAAACUAGUGCCACCCAUAACCAUUGGAAGAGACUCUAUAUGCAU
RNAcentral lists this long non-coding RNA (3131 nucleotides) under Vitis vinifera (wine grape). RNAcentral describes it as "long non-coding RNA (VVIN_LNC000560)". The record is from RNAcentral. Lineage: Eukaryota; Viridiplantae; Streptophyta; Magnoliopsida; Vitales; Vitaceae.